Molecule: ribosomal RNA, 253 nt
Filed under: uncultured bacterium
Lineage: Bacteria
Description: partial 16S ribosomal RNA
Rfam family: Bacterial small subunit ribosomal RNA
Source: RNAcentral
UACGGGGGGGGCAAGCGUUGUUCGGAAUUACUGGGCGUAAAGGGCCAGUAGGCGGCCAACUAAGUCCGACGUGAAAUCCCCAGGCUUAACCUGGGAACUGCGUCGGAUACUGGAUGGCUUGAAUUCGGGAGAGGGAUGCAGAAUUCCAGGUGUAGCGGUGAAAUGCGUAGAUAUCUGGAGGAAUACCGGUGGCGAAGGCAGGUCUCUGGGCCGAUACUGACGCUGAGGAGCGAAAGCGUGGGGAGCGAACAGG